Molecule: non-coding RNA, 391 nt
Organism: Macaca mulatta (Rhesus monkey)
Lineage: Eukaryota; Metazoa; Chordata; Mammalia; Primates; Cercopithecidae
Source: RefSeq, a predicted model, not a curated record
CCUAUUUUGGAUCUUCACUAUGAGAACCUGGUGGGAUUCCUGGAGGUCAAGGCCAUGAGAGGUUCUACAAAAAGUGCACUCUAAUGUCGCAGGUCCUGGAGGAGGGAGUUCUCAUAGCAGUCCACCUGAUGGUUGAGAAUCGAAAGAGUGCCACCCAAAUGGAGAAGAAAUAAUAUGAAUUAUUGUUAUGGAAGAAGAAAUUAUUUUCUUGGGAAAAGAUUCUACUUUAUUCUGGAAUGUGCCCUUUUCAGAGUUAAAGAGCCCUUUUUCCCCUCAAAGCAUGAGACGGACAAGGACAAACUGGGUCUCCUUACAAGCUUAAAAACUGCCCUGCUCUAGGCAGAAACAAGAAACAUCAGGUAGCCUGAUUGAAUUUACUUCUUCCAUGUAC